GGUCCCGAGGUCUGCGGCCUGAGCAUCUUCCCCAGCCAGGCGCCGGGCCUCCCAGAGGCGAUCACAGCCCCGGCCCAAAGGAGGGGGCGAAGAGACUGGCACAAGGACGCAGGGCUCCUGCAGAUGGUUCCGCUGCCUCGGUGCUGGCAAAAAUUUGAUCAGGAAAAUAAUGGUUCUGCUCUUCACUUUGCUAAAACGCCCUGGAGAGGUGUCUCAGGAGCGGGAUCGUGGAGGGGCAGAGCCUCUGGACUCCGAAACUGGUUUGGACAAGCACCCCCUUCUCUCUGCGCCUCCCGAAACGAAGGGCCAGGCUUCUGGGACAGGAAACUGGAUGCUUUCCGGACCGACUGCCUCCUCCUCAGGCCCUUGGAGCCAGCCCGCCCUGCAGCCGCUCUUGCUGCUUCAUCUGUCGGCCUGGCUCCUGUAGGCCCGAGCCGGCAGCUUCCCCAGGCUGAGCUGUGGACUAAGACCUGGGCAGCCCACAUCCCAUCCCACAUCCAUCACCUGCCCAUCCCGGAGCUGGAGGACCCAGGGCAGGACUGGAGCCCUGAGGACCUCCCAAAGCUUCAGGCUUGCCCCUGCCCAAGCCCCAAGAACUUGGAAGGGCCCAGUUCUGCUCAACGAGCAAUUCUCCAACUCCAAGCCCCCAAAGGCCCAGGCAUCCCCCUUUCCCACCUUAGCAGAGAAGACACAGGUUUUUUCCUUCACCAUUACUGUCCUGAAAUUUGCUUUUAUUACAAAGUGCAUUGAUGCCCAUUGCUUGUUGAAUCUACAUAGCACUCCUUUAAAAGACCUCAGCCCGCUGCGGUGUCUUCUCUCCCACAGUGAUAGGGUGACCAGUGUGGUCUUGACUCAAAUGACCAGGGCCCGGCUGAGUGUCAGAACCUGGACCAAUGCUUCUUCCGGGACCUUGCCCCUCCCCAUCCUGCAGGGGUGCCUCAGCACCCAACGGUGCCUUAACUCCCCAUAAGGCAAUCUCCACAGCCCUUUCUGGGAUCUGGGCGGUCCCGGGGCCUCUCUGGAAGGGUACGCACCUGCCCUCAGAAGAGAAAGCCCAGGGCCACACGCACGGAUGUCUUCACCCUUCCCCACCUGUGAUUUCCCAGGAGGGCAAAGAGGAACCCCCUCUGGAAGUCUGGGGACCCCACGUGGUAAGAGCAGCCACUGUUCCAAGCAUUUCACUGGUCUUGGUUCCAUCCUCACAACAGGCCUGAGGAACAUAUUACGACUCAUCCCUAUUUUGCAGCUGAGUAAUCUGAAGCCCAGAGAGGAGGCUCGGAUAUAAACGACAGAGUUAGGGCUUAACCCCUACCCCUCUAGCUUCAGCUGGAACUAUUGGAAAACACCAGGCAUUGCAUCGUGAGCUUUUCCUUCCAAAAACCCCACUCGUGGUUUUUGCCAAAGCCUUUCCUCUUCAUUCCCAGGUGAAUUCACAGGGGUUGGGAGAAGUGUGUGUGGUGGGGGGUACUGCAGGCAACUAACCUCUGGCCACUUGCUUUGAACAUAAAGGAGAGUAAAGAAAAAAAAAAAUAUGACCAAAAAACCAUUUGGAAACCUCCUGGAGAAGACCUCCAGGCCUUGCCCUCUUAAAACAGAACCCAGAGGCUGGGUGGGGAUUGUGCAAGAGCCCAAGGGGAGGCUGGAACCACCCUUAGGGAUGUGGGAGAGGAGGGACUAACUGCCCUGCCCAAGCAGGUGGGAAGAGUCUUCGGGGCCUAUGUUCCAAAAUAUCAGAAAUGUCAUUGCAGCAGCUGACCCUGGAGACCCUAAGGGACCAUUACAAUCCACUGAGGCCCUGAGUGCCUGCCUGGAAAGGGGCAAAACUCACCAGGGUUACCCAGCCAGUUCCAACCUUUUGAGAGCCAUAGCCCCUUCAUGUAUCUGGCAAAACUCAAUGUACAGGGGCAUUGAGGUUAGCCUUCAGCUUCCCAGGUCCCCCUACCCCCUACAGCCCCCCUAGAGCCACCAAACCCCAGACACAGUCGCCUGAUCCCUGUGAUAGGGGGUGUGGCUUUCCCAGAGUGUUUUCCCUUACAAGGGGCAGCUGCUUCUCCAGGACUGAUUGGCCCAAGUGAUAAAACCUACGGUCUGGCCUGGCCUCCCACACUGAAUCCUGGAGGAAGCACAACCUCUUGACUCUGCACAGGCCUCCAUUCAAAAACCUAGGACCCAGAGGUGCAUCUGGGGCAGAGACUGGCCAGUCUGGAGCAUCUCCUAUAAAGCAGGACUGACCUUCCCUUGGGAUGAGAGGGUCCCAGUACAGGGGACUGGCCACGCCAUUGGUUCCUUUUCUGCAUGGGAAGAUCAAAAGGC
Molecule: long non-coding RNA, 2313 nt
Organism: Miniopterus natalensis
Lineage: Eukaryota; Metazoa; Chordata; Mammalia; Chiroptera; Miniopteridae
Source: RefSeq, a predicted model, not a curated record